CAGUCGCCGCGGUAAUACGAAGGGGGCUAGCGUUGCUCGGAAUGACUGGGCGUAAAGGGCGCGUAGGCGGUUUGUACAGUCAGAUGUGAAAUUCCUGGGCUUAACCUGGGGGCUGCAUUUGAUACGUGCAGGCUUGAGUGUGGAAGAGGGUUGUGGAAUUCCCAGUGUAGAGGUGAAAUUCGUAGAUAUUGGGAAGAACACCGGUGGCGAAGGCGGCAACCUGGUCCAUUACUGACGCUGAGGCGCGAAAGCGUGGGGAGCAAACAGGAUUAGAUACCCCCGUAGUCCCUGUCUCUUAUAC
This 301-nucleotide ribosomal RNA is filed under the name uncultured bacterium. Its description in RNAcentral is "partial 16S ribosomal RNA". It matches the Rfam family "Bacterial small subunit ribosomal RNA", at positions 509 to 807 of the family's 1533-position model. The record is from RNAcentral.